GGCUCAAUGGUCUAGUGGUAUGAUUCCUGCUUCGGGUUCGGCGCCCUUCCAUCACACAUGGGAAUGCAGGAGGCCCCGGGUUCGAAUCCCGGUUGAGCCC
This 100-nucleotide transfer RNA is filed under the name Xylaria arbuscula. It matches the Rfam family "tRNA". From Rfam's summary of the family: Transfer RNA (tRNA) molecules are approximately 80 nucleotides in length. Their secondary structure includes four short double-helical elements and three loops (D, anti-codon, and T loops). Lineage: Eukaryota; Fungi; Ascomycota; Sordariomycetes; Xylariales; Xylariaceae. The record is from Rfam by way of RNAcentral.